CCUACGGGAGGCUGCAGUGGGGAAUCUUGCGCAAUGCGCGAAAGCGUGACGCAGCAACGCCGCGUGGGGGAAGAAGGCCUUCGGGUUGUAAACCCCUUUCAGGAGGGACGCGGUACCUCCAGAAGAAGCCCCGGCUAACUACGUGCCAGCAGCCGCGGUAAUACGUAGGGGGCAAGCGUUGUCCGGAAUCAUUGGGCGUAAAGAGCGUGUAGGCGGUCCGUUAAGUCGGCUGUGAAAGUCCAGGGCUCAACCCUGGGAUGCCGGCCGAUACUGGCGGACUAGAGUCCGGAAGAGGUGAGUGGAAUUCCCGGUGUAGCGGUGAAAUGCGCAGAUAUCGGGAGGAACACCAAUGGCGAAGGCAGCUCACUGGGACGGACUGACGCUGAGACGCGAAAGCGUGGGGAGCAAACAGGAUUAGAUACCCUUGUAGUC
This 432-nucleotide ribosomal RNA is filed under the name uncultured bacterium. Its description in RNAcentral is "partial 16S ribosomal RNA". It matches the Rfam family "Bacterial small subunit ribosomal RNA", at positions 338 to 795 of the family's 1533-position model. The record is from RNAcentral.